AGCGAACGCUGGCGGCAGGCCUAACACAUGCAAGUCGAGCGGGCACCGCAAGGUGUCAGCGGCAGACGGGAGAGUAACACGUGGGAACGUGCCCUUCGGUUCGGAAUAACUCGGGGAAACUCGUGCUAAUACCGAAUACGCCCUUACGGGGAAAGAUUUAUCGCCGAUGGAGCGGCCCGCGUCUGAUUAGCUAGUUGGUGAGGUAAUGGCUCACCAAGGCGACGAUCAGUAGCUGGUCUGAGAGGAUGAUCAGCCUCACUGGGACUGAGACACGGCCCAGACUCCUACGGGAGGCAGCAGUGGGGAAUAUUGGACAAUGGGCGCAAGCCUGAUCCAGCCAUGCCGCGUGGAUGAUGAAGGCCUUAGGGUUGUAAAGUCCUUUUAACGGGGAAGAUAAUGACGGUACCCGUAGAAUAAGCCCCGGCUAACUUCGUGCCAGCCGCCGCCGUAA
This 451-nucleotide ribosomal RNA is filed under the name uncultured bacterium. RNAcentral describes it as "partial 16S ribosomal RNA". It matches the Rfam family "Bacterial small subunit ribosomal RNA", at positions 29 to 523 of the family's 1533-position model. The record is from RNAcentral.